Long non-coding RNA from Esox lucius (northern pike), 1216 nucleotides. Lineage: Eukaryota; Metazoa; Chordata; Actinopteri; Esociformes; Esocidae. The record is from Ensembl.
GCUGGUCACCACUUUAAUCGUUAGAAUCAUCUUUAAACAACACAAAACAACAACAUCACAUCGUGAAUCACUUCCCAUAAUUCUCUCCUUCAUUCGAGACACAAAUGUAAAUGUUUCGUAUUUUCCAUUAUUCACUGCAAUGUCACAGAUCACAAGUCCAGUAGAGACCGGGCCUUGUGGCCUUUACUGGACGAGAUGCGUAGAAAUAGAAUGAAUUAGAACGGACAAGUGAUUUACUUGAUCAGGGACCACUUCUCAAUUCAUGUCUAUUUCUAUGCCCUGCAUGCCAUCACUGUCAUUACUGAAUACUAGGGCUGUCAAACCAUUUAAACGGUUAAUCACAAUCAUCGCAUAUAUUUCUGUGGCUAAUUGCAAUUAAUCCAAAAUUUUUUAAUAUGCUCACAUUUCUCCCUAAAGCAAGUUUUUAUUCUCAUUUAAAUAGCAGUGCAUUAAGUUACAGGCAUAUAAUGCUUUCAUUGUAAGAGGCGGAAACACACAUUUCUCUGUAUGGAAAUGUUCGCCACACAAAGGCCAACAGCUAAUAAAGUGUCCAAUGUUCAGCAAGCCGACUCUGUAAUCAGUUGUCUUGAGGUCAACACGUAUUCACAUGCAAACACACACGCAUACACACACACACACAGACACACAAGUAUCAUUAAAGCUUUAUUCUAAAUGAGUGGUUUCCAAUUUUUUUAUUGGAUGUUAAACCAAAGCCAUGUACAGUAGAAAAUUUGGCCCAUAGAUUUAAAGCAUUUUGCCAGUGCGGUUUCUGCAUUACAAUGCAUUUACAAGUCAUUCCAACAUUUUACGACAAUAAUGUUACUUUCCCAUUAACAUUUCAUGGGAAUAUUUAAACCAUGUCUACAAGAAGAUCUAUUCUCAAGAGUAGCUAUUCACAUAAACAAUUCAUCCCUUAAAGAAGUACAUAGCUGAAAACAACUGUCAUUCUUCAUCUCUACCCAUUUUUGUUUUUGUUUUAAGAUGUAUUUAGUUCUUACACUUUUGUUGAGGGUUCUCAUUAGCAUACAUUAUUAUUUUGGUUAUUGCUUUGACAACUGCAACGUUGAUAUUUGUUUACAGUCCUUGCAACUACAACAGAAACAUUUGGUUUUGCAGUAGUAUUCAGAAACAGUGCUAAAACUCAAUGAUAUAGGCUUUAGCAAAAUUAGACAAAUUAUAUUUUUAAGUAAACUGCAGAAGAUUGGCAACACCAAAU